CUGAUUAAAUUUUUUUUUUGGAAGACCUGAUUAAUUUUCUUUUCUUAUGAAUAAUGUAUUAGGCCAACAAAUGACCACAAAGGUUAUCAGGAACUCUUUGUUUCAAGACCACAAAGGAAGAUAUCCCUUUAUUUGAAGAGGAAGAUUUUGUUGGUUGGCUGAACAAGAAGGUCUAAGUUAAAUUGGUAUUUGCUCAAGAGGGUGCUAUGGCAACCUCCCGCAUUAAUCCUAGGAGUUUGAGCUUGGUAAUGGAGCUUGAAGCUAUUGAAGUCUGCGAUGUUGAAAUCCAUGUGGAGGUAUAAGUGAAACCACCUCAAAGGCACAAUUCUGUCAUCUCUUUUGCUUCCGUAUGUUACUUAAUGUGUUAGAUGUUGCUCUAUUUCAUUAAAUUCAAUCAUUGAUGUCAUAUGGAUCAAAUAUGAAGCUUUAUUUAUUUUAAAACUGUUAUAUUGGAUUUUAUGAAGACGAUUGAGUUUUUUGGGAUGUGAGCAAUACCAUGAUCGAGU
Rhododendron vialii is the source of this 506-nucleotide long non-coding RNA. RefSeq lists it as uncharacterized. Lineage: Eukaryota; Viridiplantae; Streptophyta; Magnoliopsida; Ericales; Ericaceae. The transcript is spliced from 3 exons. The record is from RefSeq and is a predicted model, not a curated record.